GUUUCGCUUGUCCCCUGCACCUCCUCCUGUGGGAGCCACCGGCUGGGCGGGGAGAGUGUCUGCUGGCAAGUCUGCUGUCUAGACAUCCAAGUUUCUCCUGAUGGAUGUUGUUCUUUUUGACUUUUUUCUCCAGCACAAACAAGGCCUUUCUCAUCAAGCUGGAAAGCGGCACUGCAAUUUCUCGCUGUAACCUCUGGUUACUCAAUGGCUCCGCAUCCCUAACAAAUGGCCCAUGGAGAAUGAAGCCAAAAACAGAGGACCACCUUCCUAACGAGUGAUUAUGUGGAAAUUUAGAUGCCAAAGGUGGAGACCAAAGCAUAUGGCUUUGUGAUGAGCAGUGUGAUUUGCCAGGGCUCAGAAGAUGGAAGGAGAUAAAUAACAGCAGUAGUGGGGCUAUAUCUAGGGAAGAGAGAUGAGUGGAGUUCCAUGUCCACCUGUCAUAGGUGCCCUCCAAAUGCUCUUCAGAGUUGGCGGGGGGGGGGGUCAGGGCGUCUGGAUGUGUUGCUAUUUUCCUUUGACUUAAAGAGAACUGUUUGUAUCUGUGUCUCCCUGUUGCUAGUGUGGAAUUCAGCCUGGGCUGUUAAUCUAGAUAUUUCAGAUAGUGCAGAAGAUCAGCUGUAUUGGCUUGUUCUUACAGUAGUGUGAGAAAACUUGAAAAUAAAAUAAAGGAUGAUUAAUCA
RNAcentral lists this long non-coding RNA (680 nucleotides) under Cricetulus griseus (Chinese hamster). Its description in RNAcentral is "lncRNA (ENSCGRG00015036120.1)". The record is from RNAcentral. Lineage: Eukaryota; Metazoa; Chordata; Mammalia; Rodentia; Cricetidae.